AGAGUUUGAUCCUGGCUCAGGACGAACGCUGGCGGCGCGCCUAACACAUGCAAGUCGAACGAGCGAGAGAGAGCUUGCUUUCUUGAGCGAGUGGCGAACGGGUGAGUAACGCGUGAGGAACCUGCCUCAAAGAGGGGGACAACAGUUGGAAACGACUGCUAAUACCGCAUAAGCCCACGGCUCGGCAUCGAGCAGAGGGAAAAGGAGCAAUCCGCUUUGAGAUGGCCUCGCGUCCGAUUAGCUAGUUGGUGAGGUAACGGCCCACCAAGGCGACGAUCGGUAGCCGGACUGAGAGGUUGAACGGCCACAUUGGGACUGAGACACGGCCCAGACUCCUACGGGAGGCAGCAGUGGGGAAUAUUGCACAAUGGGGGAAACCCUGAUGCAGCGACGCCGCGUGGAGGAAGAAGGUCUUCGGACUGUAAACUCCUGUUGUUGAGGAAGAUAAUGACGGUACUCAACAAGGAAGUGACGGCUAACUACGUGCCAGCAGCCGCGGUAAAACGUAGGUCACAAGCGUUGUCCGGAAUUACUGGGUGUAAAGGGAGCGCAGGCGGGAAGACAAGUUGGAAGUGAAAUCCAUGGGCUCAACCCAUGAACUGCUUUCAAAACUGUUUUUCUUGAGUAGUGCAGAGGUAGGCGGAAUUCCCGGUGUAGCGGUGGAAUGCGUAGAUAUCGGGAGGAACACCAGUGGCGAAGGCGGCCUACUGGGCACCAACUGACGCUGAGGCUCGAAAGUGUGGGUAGCAAACAGGAUUAGAUACCCUGGUAGUCCACACUGUAAACGAUGAUUACUAGGUGUUGGAGGAUUGACCCCUUCAGUGCCGCAGUUAACACAAUAAGUAAUCCACCUGGGGAGUACGACCGCAAGGUUGAAACUCAAAGGAAUUGACGGGGGCCCGCACAAGCAGUGGAGUAUGUGGUUUAAUUCGACGCAACGCGAAGAACCUUACCAAGUCUUGACAUCCCUUGACGAUGCUGGAAACAGUAUUUCUCUUCGGAGCAAGGAGACAGGUGGUGCAUGGUUGUCGUCAGCUCGUGUCGUGAGAUGUUGGGUUAAGUCCCGCAACGAGCGCAACCCUUAUGGUCAGUUACUACGCAAGAGGACUCUGGCCAGACUGCCGUUGACAAAACGGAGGAAGGUGGGGAUGACGUCAAAUCAUCAUGCCCUUUAUGACUUGGGCUACACACGUACUACAAUGGCGUUAAACAAAGAGAAGCAAGACCGCGAGGUGGAGCAAAACUCAGAAACAACGUCCCAGUUCGGACUGCAGGCUGCAACUCGCCUGCAUGAAGUCGGAAUUGCUAGUAAUCGCAGAUCAGCAUGCUGCGGUGAAUACGUUCCCGGGCCUUGUACACACCGCCCGUCACAC
RNAcentral lists this ribosomal RNA (1373 nucleotides) under metagenome. RNAcentral describes it as "bacterial SSU rRNA". It matches the Rfam family "Bacterial small subunit ribosomal RNA". The record is from RNAcentral.